AGAGUUUGAUCCUGGCUCAGGACGAACGCUGGCGGCGUGCUUAACACAUGCAAGUCGAACGCGAAAGCCCUUCGGGGUGAGUAGAGUGGCGAACGGGUGAGUAACACGUGGGCAACCUGCCCCAAGGAGCGGGACAACCCGGGGAAACUCGGGCUAAUACCGCAUGAUUCGCCGGCACAUAAGUGCCGGCGGCAAAUGGUAGCUUCGGCCUCCGCCUUGGGAUGGGCCCGCGGCGCAUUAGCUUGUUGGUGGGGUAACGGCUCACCAAGGCGACGAUGCGUAGCUGGUCUGAGAGGACGAUCAGCCACACUGGGACUGAGACACGGCCCAGACUCCUACGGGAGGCAGCAGUGGGGAAUCUUGCGCAAUGGGCGAAAGCCUGACGCAGCAACGCCGCGUGUGGGAAGACGGCCUUCGGGUUGUAAACCACUUUCAGGGGGGACGAAGCUUCCAGGGUUAAUAGCCCAUGGGGUGACGGUACCCCCAGAAGAAGCCCCGGCUAACUACGUGCCAGCAGCCGCGGUAAUACGUAGGGGGCGAGCGUUGUCCGGAAUCAUUGGGCGUAAAGCGCGUGUAGGCGGCUCGGUAAGUCCGGUGUGAAACCUUGGGGCUCAACCCCAAGCCUGCACUGGAUACUGUCGAGCUUGAGUCCGGGAGGGGAGAGCGGAAUUCCUAGUGUAGCGGUGAAAUGCGCAGAUAUUAGGAAGAACACCGGUGGCGAAGGCGGCUCUCUGGAACGGUACUGACGCUGAGACGCGAAAGCGUGGGGAGCGAACAGGAUUAGAUACCCUGGUAGUCCACGCCGUAAACGAUGGGCACUAGAUGUGGGCGGUGUCGACUCCGUCCGUGUCGAAGCUAACGCAUUAAGUGCCCCGCCU
Molecule: ribosomal RNA, 878 nt
Filed under: uncultured bacterium
Lineage: Bacteria
Description: bacterial SSU rRNA
Rfam family: Bacterial small subunit ribosomal RNA
Source: RNAcentral